RNAcentral lists this ribosomal RNA (497 nucleotides) under uncultured bacterium. RNAcentral's name for it is "partial 16S ribosomal RNA". It matches the Rfam family "Bacterial small subunit ribosomal RNA", at positions 28 to 507 of the family's 1533-position model. The record is from RNAcentral.
GACGAACGCUGGCGGCGUGCCUAAUACAUGCAAGUUGAGCGAUGAAGAUUGGUGCUUGCACCAAUUUGAAGAGCAGCGAACGGGUGAGUAACGCGUGGGGAAUCUGCCUUUGAGCGGGGGACAACUUUUGGAAACGAAUGCUAAUACCGCAUAAUAACUUUAAACAUAAGUUUUAAGUUUGAAAGAUGCAAUUGCAUCACUCAAAGAUGAUCCCGCGUUGUAUUAGCUAGUUGGUGAGGUAAAGGCUCAACAAGGCGAUGAUUCAUAGCCGACCUGAGAGGGUGAGUGGGCAAAUUGGGAAUGAGACAAGGCCCAAACUCCUACGGGAGGGAGCAGGAGGGAAACUUCGGGAAAGGACGAAAGGCGGGACGAGGAACGCCGGGGGAAGGAAGAAGGGUUUCGGAUCGGAAAAAUCUGUUGGUAGGGAAGAAAGAUGGUGGGAGUGGAAAGCGCAUCAAGUGACGGUAACUACUCAGAAAGGGACGGCUAACUACGUG